GACGUAGGGCGCGAGCGUUGUCCGGAUUUAUUGGGCGUAAAGAGCUCGUAGGCGGCUUGUUGCGUCGACCGUGAAAACCCGGGGCUCAACUUCGGGCUUGCGGUCGAUACGGGCGGGCUAGAGUUCGGUAGGGGAGACUGGAAUUCCUGGUGUAGCGGUGAAAUGCGCAGAUAUCAGGAGGAACACCGGUGGCGAAGGCGGGUCUCUGGGCCGGAACUGACGCUGAGGAGCGAAAGCGUGGGGAGCGAACAGG
Molecule: ribosomal RNA, 253 nt
Filed under: uncultured bacterium
Lineage: Bacteria
Description: partial 16S ribosomal RNA
Rfam family: Bacterial small subunit ribosomal RNA
Source: RNAcentral